AGAGUUUGAUCCUGGCUCAGAUUGAACGCUGGCGGCAUGCCUUACACAUGCAAGUCGAGCGGCAGCGCGGGGGCAACCCUGGCGGCGAGCGGCGAACGGGUGAGUAAUGCAUCGGAACGUGUCCUCUUGUGGGGGAUAACCAGUCGAAAGACUGGCUAAUACCGCAUGAGAUCGAGAGAUGAAAGCAGGGGACCGCAAGGCCUUGCGCGAGAGGAGCGGCCGAUGCCGGAUUAGCUAGUUGGUGGGGUAAAAGCCUACCAAGGCGACGAUCCGUAGCUGGUAUGAGAGUACGACCAGCCACACUGGGACUGAGACACGGCCCAGACUCCUACGGGAGGCAGCAGUGGGGAAUUUUGGACAAUGGGGGCAACCCUGAUCCAGCCAUGCCGCGUGUGUGAAGAAGGCCUUCGGGUUGUAAAGCACUUUCGGACGGAACGAAAUUGCGCAGGUGAAUAUCCUGCGUAGAUGACGGUACCGUAAGAAGAAGCACCGGCUAACUACGUGCCAGCAGCCGCGGUAAUACGUAGGGUGCGAGCGUUAAUCGGAAUUACUGGGCGUAAAGUGUGCGCAGGCGGCCGCGCAAGUCGAGUGUGAAAUCCCCGAGCUUAACUUGGGAAUUGCGCUCGAAACUACGUGGCUGGAGUGUGGCAGAGGAAGGUGGAAUUCCACGUAGCGGUGAAAUGCGUAGAGAUGUGGAGGAACACCGAUGGCGAAGGCAGCCUUCUGGGCCAACACUGACGCUCAUGCACGAAAGCGUGGGGAGCAAACAGGAUUAGAUACCCUAGUAGUCC
Molecule: ribosomal RNA, 791 nt
Filed under: uncultured bacterium
Lineage: Bacteria
Description: bacterial SSU rRNA
Rfam family: Bacterial small subunit ribosomal RNA
Source: RNAcentral